CGGGUGGGAUAAUGUAUAGUUGUAUUGAUUUAGCUUACCGACCUUGCCACGUUCAUGUUUUCAUUUCCUUUUGUUCAUGAUGAUUGUUUUUUUUUGUGCAGACCUAGAUUGUAGGAUUGCAUGAGUUGGGGCUUGCGAUUUCCCAUUGUGGUGCACAGGUAGAUUGUAUGAUGUACUUGCCGAAAUGAGCAUGGUCGCCAUGCUAAUUGUUCAAAUAUUCUAUGGCUAUUUCAGUGCUUAUCUCAGUUACUUGAUUUCUUUUGUAGUACUGCCAGGGGUGGCUGUUUGUUUACUGCAGGGGGUGUUGAUCUGAUGCCCCAUUAUUUGAUUACAUGUUUGAUGCUCUCCAAAAAAUGCUACAAAUAAUCAUAAGAAACUUCUCGCGAUAGAUUUACAAUUAGGGAUAUUUCCAAAUGUUUACUUCUAAUUCAUUAGCACAUCCUCUGUUUUUUUAAUUAAUUGUUGCCUCCUGCUUUUUGUUUAUCUUAGCCUUCUGGUGCUUUUGGUGUAUGGGCAAAACAGGUCAGAGUACAAAGUGGUGAAUUGCAUUUCACAUGCCAAGAUAAACAAAGAAUAAAAAAAGAAAACAUGGUAUUCUCUAACACAAGAGCAUGAUACCUUGGGUCCAUUGGUGCAGACCAAGAGAUAAGAACUACUUAUGCUGCAAUAGUUUCAGUGGAAGUAUAGUCAGGUGUUUAAUUGUUUUUUUUUACAGUUUUAGCUAAUUGGCUGGGUAUCCACUUUAUCUUUUGUGCUUGCACAUAUAAUCGAUUCUCUGGUCCUACUCGCAUGUUCUCUAAUUAUCUUGGAGUGCUGGCAAGUAAUUAGAACAUAUCUUGGUCCAUACUUGCAUUAGAAUAUGCCACAUAGAAGGAUGUGGCAUAUCUUGGAAUAAGAAUGGCCACACGAGCAUUCUGUCAUGAUAUUGUAAUGAGUGGUCGAUACUUGUGGCAGUGCUGCAAUGGUGCUAUGAUGCAUGUUUGCACAAGAUGCCUGUAAAUUAUUGAUCUUCGUCGUGCUUCCUGCUUACUAUUAGUUCAAUUGAGCCCAAUCUUUCUGGUCGUAUUGCUACAUGCUUAUGAUUAAUUUCUAUAUUUCUUGGUUGUUGUAUUGUAGGACAGGGAGGCAGAAGAGAGGGCAUGCCGGGGAAUGAAGGAGAACAAACGUAAGUAGUACUUGCCACUAUUCAGAUUUCUUUGUUGUUGCAUUACAGGAUUGUAGGGUGUUUAGAUUUUAAAUGCUGGCAUUGAUCGAGGUGUUAACUGGUUUUUAGUUCUGAUUAGAUGUGAAUCAGGUUUUAGUUAUGAUGAGAUGCAGAAAUUGUUGAGAGAGGGCAUGAAUGGUCUAUAUUUUAACCGUGCUUUUAUUCCCUUUUGCCCUUUCCAAAGGGACUGCUCUACCUUUUGUUGACAACAAUAUAUUUAUUAAGCUAGGAGGCUGCACCGGUCAUGAAUUUAAAUAGGCUUGCUACCACUUUAUUUUGGUCAACAUUUUUGGCCCUGAACAUGUUAUGUUUUGAUUUAUGAGGUUAAAGCAUACUACUGCUUGCAUAAAUAGCAACAUGUUGAAAGUAUUGUUGGGUCACUUUUAGGCUUCUAGCUAUUUUGAUUUUAUCAUAUACAACACUUUCAGACCAGUAAAUACAAUGACCUCCCUUUUACAUUAAAUAAUCGCGAUUGUUCUCAUACCAUUUGGCAUUUGCAGAGUGUCUCACGCACACAAGCUAAAGGUUCACCAAGUUUAGGGAAAGAAAAGUUUCCCUAGACAGGUGGCGGCGG
Molecule: long non-coding RNA, 1778 nt
Filed under: Triticum aestivum (bread wheat)
Lineage: Eukaryota; Viridiplantae; Streptophyta; Magnoliopsida; Poales; Poaceae
Description: long non-coding RNA (TAES_LNC016899)
Source: RNAcentral